AAUUUGGAAAACUCAGCAGUGGCCACCGGACUGGAAAAGGCCAUGGCUCUCAGCUUGAGGGGAUCUGAGAUUCCUCACCAAGGAUUGAACCCCAGGUCUCGUGCAUUGAGAGCGUGGAGGCUUAACCACUGGACCACCAGGGAGGUCCCCUGUUAACUUAAAUUUGAUGCUAGCUAAAAAAGCCUGUUUGUGGCCUAUCAACCUACAUUGUACAUCUGCUUUAAUUAUUAAAGAAGAGGAUACUGACCAGAAGUCAAGGAUGUCCAUGUCCAAAAUAAAGAUUAAAGUCCUUCCCGGGAUGCCAGCGCUGGUCCUCCUUUGAUAAUAAGACUCACUUCACAGGUGCCAAGGUCAUACUGACUUGCCUCAAACGUGCUGGUCUGUUCUGAGACCUUGAAGAAAUGUCUCCCUGAAUUGUUUAACAUUCUUUGUUCUGACAAGAUACAAAACUGCUGAAAACCCUGCUUCUUUGGAACAGUUUCACAGAGUAACCUGGGAAGCAGGCUUCUGGGCUAGCCCUCAGUCUGGCUCGAAUAAAACUCUUUUCUUAA
Molecule: non-coding RNA, 551 nt
Organism: Odocoileus virginianus texanus
Lineage: Eukaryota; Metazoa; Chordata; Mammalia; Artiodactyla; Cervidae
Source: RefSeq, a predicted model, not a curated record